GCCCGGGCUGCGCCGACCGCCGGCCCCGAGCCGCCGCGGGCUCCGAGGAGUCGGCCGAGCUGCUCCCGCGCCCUGGCCGGGGACUUACCAAUUUGGGAUUCUUCCAGGAGCUGAAAACUGAUUGCAAAUAUGAAACAGAUUUCACUACAGGACUUGAACCCUACAUUAAAAAACAACAAGCUCCCCAAAAUAAUUGAAAAAGAUCUUCACCAAAGAGUAGCUGCAAUGUGAAUGGCAGGAUAUGAAGCAAGUAAGAGAUGGUGAAAAGAUUAUCUUAAGCUUGGAAUUAAGUGAUGAAAGGGACCUUCGAAAUUAUCAACUCUAAAUACUUCUUUACAGGAAAAUUGAAAGCAGUUAAGAACCUGCCCCCUACCGUGGAGUUCUUGGUGCCGUGAGUUGGAGUUCUUGGUGCCUGGGUGCGUCCCCAAGGCCACUGGUCUUCAGAUCUUUCUUACUUGAGAAGAACGCCUCCGCCUCCUGGCUCUCCCACCAGUGGUAUUGCCACCACCACACACCAGCAUAAAGCACAGAUUGCUGCCCAGCUCCUUGGAGAGGGGCCAGUGCAUUUGUCAGGAAUUGAAAAGUUUUGGAGCCAGUUCGAGGACUUUCUCCUGCACAAAGUGUUGGCUGGAAGCAUGAUUAUCUCACACAGAGCGUUGGAAUUACUUCAUGAUGAUUUCAA
Molecule: long non-coding RNA, 682 nt
Filed under: Homo sapiens (human)
Lineage: Eukaryota; Metazoa; Chordata; Mammalia; Primates; Hominidae
Description: long intergenic non-protein coding RNA 1122
Source: RNAcentral